GAGCUAUGGUACUGCACUGCUGCUUCACCGGAACUACCCUCCAUUCCCUCAAACUUGCUGCAAUUCCUUACUUCUCCAGAACCCUAACCUCUCGUCUAACGCCUUACUAUCCAAGGCCUCUGUUCCCUCUUGCCGUUAGAUCCCUUUCUGCCGCCGCCGUCGUCCAAACUGCCGCCACCUCCACAGACGAGUAUCAAGUAGUGAAGCCUCAAUGGAAAGCUGCAAUUGAUUUCAAGUGGAUAAGAGAUAAUAAGGAUUCAGUUGCGGUUAAUAUUAAGAAUAGGAACUCCAAUGCCAAUCUGGAGCUUGUUCUUCAGCUCUACGAGAAGUUGCU
RNAcentral lists this unclassified non-coding RNA (334 nucleotides) under Hevea brasiliensis (rubber tree). The record is from RNAcentral. Lineage: Eukaryota; Viridiplantae; Streptophyta; Magnoliopsida; Malpighiales; Euphorbiaceae.